RNAcentral lists this ribosomal RNA (395 nucleotides) under uncultured bacterium. RNAcentral describes it as "bacterial SSU rRNA". It matches the Rfam family "Bacterial small subunit ribosomal RNA", at positions 362 to 775 of the family's 1533-position model. The record is from RNAcentral.
UAUUGCACAAUGGGCGAAAGCCUGAUGCAGCAACGCCGCGUGAGCGUUGAAGGGCUUCGGGUCGUAAAACUCUGUCCUCAAGGAAGAUAAUGACGGUACUUGAGGAGGAAGCCCCGGCUAACUACGUGCCAGCAGCCGCGGUAAUACGUAGGGGGCUAGCGUUAUCCGGAAUUAGUGGGCGUAAAGGGUGCGUAGGUGGUUUCUUAAGUCAGAGGUGAAAGGCUACGGCUCAACCGUAGGAAGACUUUGAAACUGGGGAACUUGAGUGCAGGAGAGGAGAGUGGAAUUCCUAGUGUAGCGGUGAAAUGCGUAGAUAUUAGGAGGAACACAAGUUGCGAAGGCGGCUCUCUGGACUGUAACUGACACUGAGGCACGAAAGCGUGGGGAGCAAACAG